UAUUUAGCGUGGGUUUGAGAUUUUUCUUAUUGGGUUGGACAUGCUUAUUUGUAGUGUUGUAGUCCAUAUAAUUAGUAGGUCUAUUAGGUUUAGAGGUUAAAUUGGUGCCAGCAUCUGCGGUUAUACUUAGUCUUGAAAAUUAACAUAGGUAGGCUAUUUGUUAAAAAUGUUUAAUUUUUGGUGAAAUAAAUUAGGUUUUUUUUUUUACUAAAGAGGUCAGGUCUAAUAGAACCAGGAUUAGAGACCCUGUUACUAAUUAUUAAAUCUAGUGCUUAUAGCUAUAAGUUACAUGGUUUGGCGGCUUUAUUUUUUUAGAGGAGUUUGCUUAUAAUCGAUAUGGCUCGUUGGCUUAUAUUUACUUUAUUUAUGUACACCGUCAUUUAGUUAAUUUUAAUAGAAAAAUUAAGAUAAGUUAGUUAAAUAGAUUAGAUCAAGGUGCAGAGUAGGUAAAAAAGAGUUAACUACAAUAUAAAAUGAUAAUAUAGGCGUAUAAAUGUGGUUAUUAAUAAGUGGAUUUAAUAGUAAUUAUUUAUGUUUGAUUUUAUUUAUUAAGUGUACAAAUUGCCCGUCAAUCUCUAAGAGAUAAGUCGAAACAAAGUAGAGAUACUGGAAGGUAUUUCUA
Molecule: ribosomal RNA, 622 nt
Filed under: Eulimnogammarus vittatus
Lineage: Eukaryota; Metazoa; Arthropoda; Malacostraca; Amphipoda; Eulimnogammaridae
Description: 12S ribosomal RNA
Source: RNAcentral